GAAAAAAUUUAAUAUGUUUGAUUAGAUCUGCUUGUUUUUGCAAUCGGUAAAUCAGCCAUAGUUCAUGCUUUCAAAUUCUGAGAUAGGCAAUUUAAUAGAAGCAUAAACAUGGAGAAAAACAGCAAGUGCAAUCCUGCCCUCCUCACAAAAAGAGUUUAUACCACUUCAUAUGGUAAAAAAUAACCAAUGACAUCCAAUAGAAAAAACAUCUGAAAGUACUUUUCAUUGUUUAACCAUUAUAAGUCAGCUGUGGAGGCCUCUGGGAGGAAAAUAAGAUUAGAUAACUAGGUAAUAACCAUAAACGAUGCCCUUUUUAAGAAAUCCAAUUGUUGUUUAUCUUAGAAUCUAAAGCAAUGUAAUGAGAUGCUUUUGUUCAUAAAAGUCACUCAAAAUCCAGAGUUAUAAAUGUCAACAAGCUGCAUGAAAGCUCAAUUUUAAGAUUUAGUACUAUGUACAAAUGAAGACAAAAAUAAGCACAAACAUAAGAGUUGCAUUUUAAUAUAGGUAUCCAUUAUCUAAUGUUUAUAUAAUGGAAGCCAAAUGACUUCAUUAUUAUCUGUGCUAUUACACUGAAUACCAGAUGAACUCAUCAUACAGGCAUACUUGCUUUAAAACCUAUUACAGCCCCAUCAAUGACAAGAGCAACAUAUAUAUGCAAACUUCUUUAGAUGACUAAUUUGAUUUUUGUGUUAACUGCUAAUGUGUUAUUAAUCAACAGUUCAUUAUACUUUUAGAUAACCUUAGUUUAUUUCUGCUUUAUUUGUACACAACUCAUUUCUGUAAUGUCUUGCUCUAUAAAAUUUUAUUCCUAUUUAAACAUUAUUAUCCUUAGAUAAUAAACACAUAUAUGCAAAUAUCAGAUGGAAAAAUAUUGAACCUACUAAAUU
This 887-nucleotide long non-coding RNA is filed under the name Homo sapiens (human). Its description in RNAcentral is "HSALNT0375994". The record is from RNAcentral. Lineage: Eukaryota; Metazoa; Chordata; Mammalia; Primates; Hominidae.